AGAGGAUGUUGAAGAUCUCUCUAAGAUUUUGUGGGCUCACGACACUCGUAGCUCACUUUCUCACUUCCCGAACUCCAGGCUAAAACUCUAGGGAACUCACCGGAAACCUUGCACCCACUUUUCUUUCUUUUCUUUCUUUUUCUCUUGGAAGGAUAUGGACUUCCUUCUCACGCACAAGACUUCUCACGUCCCAAAAUUUUUCUCCAAAAAUCUUCUUCUUGCAUGCCCCACUCUUCUCC
This 239-nucleotide long non-coding RNA is filed under the name Elaeis guineensis (African oil palm). Its description in RNAcentral is "long non-coding RNA (EGUI_LNC055437)". The record is from RNAcentral. Lineage: Eukaryota; Viridiplantae; Streptophyta; Magnoliopsida; Arecales; Arecaceae.